Molecule: long non-coding RNA, 877 nt
Organism: Meriones unguiculatus (Mongolian gerbil)
Lineage: Eukaryota; Metazoa; Chordata; Mammalia; Rodentia; Muridae
Exons: 3
Source: RefSeq, a predicted model, not a curated record
AGGCAGGAUGGCGUCUUCCCCAACUGGGAGGCCUUCUAUGGUGUGGUGUGGUGGUGGCGGCGGUGUGUGUGUGUGUGUGUGUGUGUGUGUGUGUGUGUGUGUGUGUGUGUGUGUGUGUGAGCUAAGAAAUCAUCACAGAGCCAGCAAGAUGGCGUAGCGGAUAGAGGUGCCUGCCACCAAACCUGAUGAUCUGUGUUCAAUCACUGGCGAUCCACACGGUGGAGAGAGAGAACUGAUUCCAGCAAGGUGUCCUCUGAUUCCACACGUGAGCCUUGGCAAGUGGACAGAUGGAUGGACAGACGGAUGUGUGCGAGCACAUGCACACACACAGAAUAAAUAUUGAACUUGGCUGUGGUUUUUGUUGUCUCCUGCCCCUCCCACCCUCUGCAUGGCAAUCACCACGAUGUCAGUUCCGUCUCAUCCAGCAGCUGUAAGAUGCUACGAGGUGACAGUGUUGAAAUUUUCCCUCAAUCAAAAGCCAUGCUACAGAUCAGAAACUGGCAGAAAGGCAAGCAUGGGCAUGGCACCCAUUUCUUUUCCGGUUGCACACGGCUCAACGUUGAAUAAUUGAUUCACCUUGUAAUGGCUGCCCAGCAGUAAGAAUCCAUGAACUGCUUCCUGAGGGACCACCUGGGAAUGAGAAAAACAACUGUGAUUCUUUGAAUUGAAGCCAGGCUCAGAGAGCUCUUGAAGGGCGGGGUGAACUGUUCUGAGAAACAACCAGCUGUAAACCAUCUACAACCAGCUGUAAACCAUAGAGCAAAGUGACCUGAUUUUCAGGUAUAAAAACCCUGUGCUUUGCAUGUUCGGGGUCAUCUCCUGUCUUUGGAGGGGCGACCCUAUCACGAUAGCAGUAAACCUCUUGCUUUUGCAUUGA